Molecule: ribosomal RNA, 460 nt
Filed under: uncultured bacterium
Lineage: Bacteria
Description: partial 16S ribosomal RNA
Rfam family: Bacterial small subunit ribosomal RNA
Source: RNAcentral
CCUACGGGUGGCAGCAGUGAGGAAUAUUGGUCAAUGGACGAGAGUCUGAACCAGCCAAGUAGCGUGAAGGAUGACUGCCCUAUGGGUUGUAAACUUCUUUUAUAUGGGAAUAAAAUGUUCCACGUGUGGGAUUUUGUAUGUACCAUAUGAAUAAGGAUCGGCUAACUCCGUGCCAGCAGCCGCGGUAAUACGGAGGAUCCGAGCGUUAUCCGGAUUUAUUGGGUUUAAAGGGUGCGUAGGUGGAUUUUUAAGUCAGUUGUGAAAGUUUGCGGCUCAACCGUAAAAUUGCAGUUGAAACUGGCAGUCUUGAGUACAGUAGAGGUGGGCGGAAUUCGUGGUGUAGCGGUGAAAUGCUUAGAUAUCACGAAGAACUCCGAUUGCGAAGGCAGCUUACUGGACCGCAACUGACACUGAGGCUCGAAAGUGUGGGUAUCAAACAGGAUUAGAUACCCUUGUAGUC